This 1316-nucleotide ribosomal RNA is filed under the name Staphylococcus sp. RNAcentral's name for it is "bacterial SSU rRNA". It matches the Rfam family "Bacterial small subunit ribosomal RNA", at positions 56 to 1353 of the family's 1533-position model. Lineage: Bacteria; Bacillati; Bacillota; Bacilli; Caryophanales; Staphylococcaceae. The record is from RNAcentral.
UGCAGUCGAGCGAACAGACGAGGAGCUUGCUCCUCUGACGUUAGCGGCGGACGGGUGAGUAACACGUGGAUAACCUACCUAUAAGACUGGGAUAACUUCGGGAAACCGGAGCUAAUACCGGAUAAUAUAUUGAACCGCAUGGUUCAAUAGUGAAAGACGGUUUUGCUGUCACUUAUAGAUGGAUCCGCGCCGCAUUAGCUAGUUGGUAAGGUAACGGCUUACCAAGGCAACGAUGCGUAGCCGACCUGAGAGGGUGAUCGGCCACACUGGAACUGAGACACGGUCCAGACUCCUACGGGAGGCAGCAGUAGGGAAUCUUCCGCAAUGGGCGAAAGCCUGACGGAGCAACGCCGCGUGAGUGAUGAAGGUCUUCGGAUCGUAAAACUCUGUUAUUAGGGAAGAACAAAUGUGUAAGUAACUAUGCACGUCUUGACGGUACCUAAUCAGAAAGCCACGGCUAACUACGUGCCAGCAGCCGCGGUAAUACGUAGGUGGCAAGCGUUAUCCGGAAUUAUUGGGCGUAAAGCGCGCGUAGGCGGUUUUUUAAGUCUGAUGUGAAAGCCCACGGCUCAACCGUGGAGGGUCAUUGGAAACUGGAAAACUUGAGUGCAGAAGAGGAAAGUGGAAUUCCAUGUGUAGCGGUGAAAUGCGCAGAGAUAUGGAGGAACACCAGUGGCGAAGGCGACUUUCUGGUCUGUAACUGACGCUGAUGUGCGAAAGCGUGGGGAUCAAACAGGAUUAGAUACCCUGGUAGUCCACGCCGUAAACGAUGAGUGCUAAGUGUUANGGGGGUUUCCGCCCCUUAGUGCUGCAGCUAACGCAUUAAGCACUCCGCCUGGGGAGUACGACCGCAAGGUUGAAACUCAAAGGAAUUGACGGGGACCCGCACAAGCGGUGGAGCAUGUGGUUUAAUUCGAAGCAACGCGAAGAACCUUACCAAAUCUUGACAUCCUCUGACCCCUCUAGAGAUAGAGUUUUCCCCUUCGGGGGACAGAGUGACAGGUGGUGCAUGGUUGUCGUCAGCUCGUGUCGUGAGAUGUUGGGUUAAGUCCCGCAACGAGCGCAACCCUUAAGCUUAGUUGCCAUCAUUAAGUUGGGCACUCUAAGUUGACUGCCGGUGACAAACCGGAGGAAGGUGGGGAUGACGUCAAAUCAUCAUGCCCCUUAUGAUUUGGGCUACACACGUGCUACAAUGGACAAUACAAAGGGCAGCGAAACCGCGAGGUCAAGCAAAUCCCAUAAAGUUGUUCUCAGUUCGGAUUGUAGUCUGCAACUCGACUAUAUGAAGCNGGAAUCGCUAGUAAUCGUAGAUCAGC